CCUACGGGAGACUGCAGUGAGGAAUAUUGGUCAAUGGACGAGAGUCUGAACCAGCCAAGUAGCGUGAAGGAUGACUGCCCUAUGGGUUGUAAACUUCUUUUAUAAAGGAAUAAAACGAGGCACGUGUGCCUUUUUGCAUGUACUUUAUGAAUAAGGAUCGGCUAACUCCGUGCCAGCAGCCGCGGUAAUACGGAGGAUCCGAGCGUUAUCCGGAUUUAUUGGGUUUAAAGGGAGCGUAGAUGGGUUGUUAAGUCAGUUGUGAAAGUUUGCGGCUCAACCGUAAAAUUGCAAUUGAUACUGGAAGUCGUGAGUACAGUUGAGGUAGGCGGAAUUCGUGGUGUAGCGGUGAAAUGCUAGAUAUCACGAAGAACCCCGAUUGCGAAGGCAGCUUACUAAACUGUGACUGACAUUGAUGCUCGAAAGUGUGGGUAUCAAACAGGAUUAGAUACCCGAGUAGUC
RNAcentral lists this ribosomal RNA (459 nucleotides) under uncultured bacterium. Its description in RNAcentral is "partial 16S ribosomal RNA". It matches the Rfam family "Bacterial small subunit ribosomal RNA", at positions 338 to 795 of the family's 1533-position model. The record is from RNAcentral.